This 433-nucleotide ribosomal RNA is filed under the name uncultured bacterium. Its description in RNAcentral is "partial 16S ribosomal RNA". It matches the Rfam family "Bacterial small subunit ribosomal RNA", at positions 29 to 507 of the family's 1533-position model. The record is from RNAcentral.
AACGAACGCUGGCGGCAUGCCUAACACAUGCAAGUCGAACGAGACCUUCGGGUCUAGUGGCGCACGGGUGCGUAACGCGUGGGAACCUGCCCUUAGGUUCGGAAUAACUCCCCGAAAGGGGUGCUAAUACCGGAUAAUGUCUUCGGACCAAAGAUUUAUCGCCUUUGGAUGGGCCCGCGUUGGAUUAGCUAGUUGGUAGGGUAAAAGCCUACCAAGGCGACGAUCCAUAGCUGGUCUGAGAGGAGGAUCAGCCACACUGGGACUGAGACGCGGCCCAGACUCCGACGGGAGGAAGCAGAGGGGAAUAUUGGACAAUGGGCGAAAGCCUGAUCAAGCAAUGCCGCGUGAGUGAUGAAGGCCUUAGGGUUGUAAAGCUCUUUUACCCGGGAUGAUAAUGACAGUACCGGGAGAAUAAGCACCGGCUAACUCCGUG